Long non-coding RNA from Drosophila mojavensis, 1207 nucleotides. RefSeq lists it as uncharacterized. The transcript is spliced from 2 exons. NCBI's taxonomy places the organism in Eukaryota, Metazoa, Arthropoda, Insecta, Diptera, Drosophilidae. The record is from RefSeq and is a predicted model, not a curated record.
UCGAGAGUAGACGAGAAGUCAAACUUGGUCAAAGAUUAUUGAACGAGAAAGGGCAUUAAAAAGAGUUUAGCGACACACCGGGAAUUCGUUGAUACGCGCAGCUAAGAUGGAAAACCAGAAUGAGAAACGCAACGCCCCGACAUAUUAAUAAUUUUUUAUUAAUUUAAAGUAUUUUUAUAUUUCGAGCCUAGAAGCCAUAAACUGUGUUCCAACACUUAGCUCCCUUCGUAGAGAAUUCAAAAUUAUAAACAAAUAUUUUGUACUAAUUUUUUUUUUUUUUUUUUUUAAUUGCUCUGCAUUGCUUCAUUUAAAAAUUUCAUUUUUUGUAUUAUUCAAUUCUUGGAUUGUCUAGCUUCCCAGGAUCUAGGCUAAAGUGAAAGUAACUGACUUGCUGAGAUGGCCAACAGCGAAGGCUAAUAAACGUAAAAUAAUUGUGGCCCUCAAGGAAAUCAGGCGUUCGCCAGGCAGCAAGUGGAAAGGCCAACUAAACGAAACGGGACAUUAGGAAUUGCAGCAGGCAUGCCGUGCGGUUGAGCAGGUGGUGGUGGCACACUAAUUACAGCAGGGCGCGUGUCAGAAGGGACUCAGCAGCCAGCACGCGACCUUGCACUGCCGGCUGAAAUUUGUGGUGCAAGGUCAGGAGCGAACCGCAGUCGCCAUCAAGGUUAAUUGUCCAUUAAGCGUGCGGAGAAAGUGCAAGUGUCUGGAAAUGCCACCACCAAAGUGGCAUCAAGCGCCCGCCAAUGCCAGCGACUGGGCUGCAUCUUAACCAAACUGCCCGGACUGUGUGUGUGUGUGUGUGUGUGUGUGUGUGUGUGUGCGAGUGUUAUUUAUGAGGUCAAUGCGCUCAUUUAGCUCCGACUUUGACUUUUAGCUUGGCCAACUGACCGACUGGUGCAUCGCUCAGCUGGCUAUGCAUUUAAAAUAUAUCAGUGAAAGACUUAGGCAAAUAAAAUGGGUGAGAAUUUAAGUUCUCUAGCGAGAGCUGACUAUGCCUCCUCAGUCUGGCUGUUCUGUAAAGAAAAGAAAUCUCUGCAUGAAUCUAUUUCAACAGGAAUUGCUGCCUCUAUUCGACGUCAUAAGCUCAGAUAAAUUGAAAAGUUUUAUUAAAUUUUAAGCUUCAAUUUAUAAAUAAAAUAUAUUCUUAUUGAGAACUGUUUGCUCCGGGUCUGCUACGAUCAAAUUGAAUAAAAAUCGAUCAACAUCA